RNAcentral lists this long non-coding RNA (378 nucleotides) under Vigna radiata. RNAcentral's name for it is "long non-coding RNA (VRAD_LNC012009)". Lineage: Eukaryota; Viridiplantae; Streptophyta; Magnoliopsida; Fabales; Fabaceae. The record is from RNAcentral.
ACUGUUAGAAGUGGACUUUAAGCCUAACUCAACCCCACAAAACCGGCUUGUAGGGUGAGGUUUGCACCCACUUAUAUACACUUAAAUGGCCUCAUCUCUAGUCGAUGUGGGACUUCCAACACACCCCCUCACGUCGAGGUAUAUACAUCUCGAGCGUGGGAUUAGACUUUUUAAUGGGUGGUCCGAUAGCGGCCCGAUAGCGGGUGGAUCAAUAUGCCCAACGACAACAGAAAUCGCUAGGAUGGGCUCCAGUCAUGGCUCUGAUACCAUGUUAGAAGUGGACUUUAAGCCUAACUCAACCCCACAAAACCGGCUUGUAAGAUGAGGUUUGCACCCACUUAUAUACACUUAAAUGGCCUCAUCUCUAGUCGAUGUGGG